AUGGAACUUCUUAGAGCAGCAAUGGAUAAACUGACUCCUUUAGCUGCUGAGCAUGAUGGUCUGGGUUUAGAACACAUAAUAGAAUUGAAGAACACAAAGGUUAAGGCAUUGAGUCUGCUAGAACGGCCACAUAAUGGCUGCAUGAGCGACGAUGUGGGCAGUGCCAUUGGAAUUUUCAUUGGAUUAUCUGCUCCAGAGCGCAAACGGAAAGCUGGACGACCAACAAACAGCAGAGACAAGCCUCCGUACAACGAUCGAUCUGGGAAGAGCAAAAAGUUGAAGGUUACAUCGGAAGAUGCAGUUCUCAGAUGCGGCACAAGUAAAAAACACGGUUCUGCACUAUAUAUCGUGGCCCUGGUCACAAAAGCACGCCUCAGAAGUAAAGGAAAGAACCGAAAUGCUCGAUUUGCAGGGUGGGAGGUCAUCGGAAGAACACCUGCAACAAUCCUAAGAUCAUGGUACAUGUUGUCGAGCAAACAACUCAUGAUCCUGCUAUCGAUCAGUGAUUAA
This 510-nucleotide ribosomal RNA is filed under the name Triticum aestivum (bread wheat). RNAcentral describes it as "partial small subunit ribosomal RNA". Lineage: Eukaryota; Viridiplantae; Streptophyta; Magnoliopsida; Poales; Poaceae. The record is from RNAcentral.